This 2189-nucleotide ribosomal RNA is filed under the name marine metagenome. Its description in RNAcentral is "bacterial LSU rRNA". It matches the Rfam family "Bacterial large subunit ribosomal RNA", at positions 3 to 2022 of the family's 2925-position model. The record is from RNAcentral.
UCAAAUUAUUAAGCGCACAUGGCGGAUGCCUUGGCAUCAGAAGCCGAUGAAGGACGUAGUAGGCUGCGAUAAGCCUCGGGGAGCUGUCAAACGAGCUUUGAUCCGAGGAUUUCCGAAUGGGGAAACCCAGCUGGAGUAAUGUCCAGUUAUUUCUACCUGAAUAUAUAGGGUAGAUAAAGGGAACGUGGGGAAGUGAAACAUCUCAGUACCCACAGGAAGAGAAAACAACCGUGAUUCCGUUAGUAGUGGCGAGCGAACGCGGAAGAGGCCAAACCAAUACUGUGCCAAGCCGGCAGGCGUUGCAGUAUUGGGGUUGUGGGACCAGUUAGAAGCGACUGCCGUUGCUUCAAUGAGUCAGAAAUUAAUUGUGUAGGUGAAUGGCGUGGGAAAGCCAGGCACAGAGGGUGAGAUCCCCGUAGCCGAAACACUUUUAACUCAUUAUUGGUAUCCCAAGUAAUACCGGACUCGAGGAAUCCGGUAUGAAUCUGGCGGGACCACCCGCUAAGCCUAAAUACUCUCUGAUGACCGAUAGCGGACUAGUACCGUGAGGGAAAGGUGAAAAGAACCCCGAAAGGGGAGUGAAAUAGAAUCUGAAACCGUGUGCGUACAAGCCGUUGGAGCGACGUAAGUUGUGACAGCGUGCCUUUUGAAGAAUGAGUCUACGAGUUAGUGUCGUGUUGCAAGGUUAACCCGUCGAGGGGAAGCCGUAGCGAAAGCGAGUCUGAAUAGGGCGAUUAAGUAGCACGAUCUAGACCCGAAGCGAGGUGAUCUACGCAUGGCCAGGUUGAAGCGCGGGUAAGACCGCGUGGAGGACCGAACCCACUAAUGUUGAAAAAUUAGGGGAUGAGCUGUGUGUAGGGGUGAAAGGCCAAUCAAACUUCGUGAUAGCUGGUUCUCUCCGAAAUGCAUUUAGGUGCAGCGUCACGUGUUUCUUACCGGAGGUAGAGCUACUGGAUGGUCGAGGGGUCCUACAAGAUUACCAACAUCAGCCAAACUCCGAAUGCCGGUAAGUGAGAGCGCGGCAGUGAGACUGUGGGGGAUAAGCUUCAUAGUCGAGAGGGAAACAACCCAGAAUAGCAACUAAGGUCCCAAAGCCUGUGCUAAGUGGAAAAGGAUGUGGAGUCGCAUAGACAACCAGGAUGUUGGCUUAGAAGCAGCCACCAUUAAAAGAGUGCGUAAUAGCUCACUGGUCAAGUGAUUCCGCGCCGACAAUGUAACGGGGCUCAAGCACAGCACCGAAGUUCUAUCAUUCACACAUUAUCCCGGUCGCAAGAUCCAGGAGUGUGGAUGGGUAGGAGAGCGUCGUGUCACUGGUGAAGCGGCAGAGGAAUCUAGCCGUGGAAGUGACACGAGUGAGAAUGUAGACAUGAGUAGCGAGAGAGGGGUGAGAAACCCCUCCGCCGAAAGACCAAGGGUUCCUGGGCCAGGCUAAUCCGCCCAGGGUAAGUCGGGACCUAAGGCGAGGCCGUCAGGCGUAGUCGAUGGACAACUGGUUGAUAUUCCAGUACCCGCUUUAAUUCGCCCAUAACGAAUCCACUAAUGCUAAGAGUCUGAAUCCUGUGCGGCGUAAGUUGCGUGGGUGGAUGGCUCGAACCGGUGUGGUAGUAGUUAAGCAAUGGUGUGACACAGGAAGGCAGUCCAACCCGGGCGAUGGUUGUCCCGGGGUAAGGUGGUAGGGAGUGAUGUAGGUAAAUCCGCAUCACAUAUAUCCUGAGAGCUGAUGCCGAGCCGUAAGGCGAAGUGGAUGAUCCUAUGCUGUCAAGAAAAGCAUCUAGCGAGAAUUAUUGCGGCCCGUACCCGAAACCGACACAGGUGGUCAGGUAGAGAAUACCAAGGCGAUCGAGAGAAUCAUGGAUAAGGAACUCGGCAAAAUGCCCCCGUAACUUCGGGAGAAGGGGGGCCCUUUGACGUGUAGGAGUUUUCCUCCGAAGCGUUGGAAGGCCGCAGAGACCAGGCUCAAGCGACUGUUUACCAAAAACACAGGUCCGUGCGAAGUAGCAAUACGAUGUAUACGGACUGACGCCUGCCCGGUGCUGGAAGGUUAAGGGGACUGGUUAGCCGCAAGGCGAAGCUGAGAACUUAAGCCCCAGUAAACGGCGGUGGUAACUAUAACCAUCCUAAGGUAGCGAAAUUCCUUGUCGGGUAAGUUCCGACCUGCACGAAUGGCGUAACGACUUGAGCGCUGUCUC